GACGAACGCUGGCGGCGUGCUUAACACAUGCCAGUCGAACGGAAAGGCCCUGCUUUUGUGGGGUGCUCGAGUGGCGAACGGGUGAGUAACACGUGAGUAACCUGCCCUUGACUUUGGGAUAACUUCAGGAAACUGGGGCUAAUACCGGAUAGGAGCUCCUGCUGCAUGGUGGGGGUUGGAAAGUUUCGGCGGUUGGGGAUGGACUCGCGGCUUAUCAGCUUGUUGGUGGGGUAGUGGCUUACCAAGGCUUUGACGGGUAGCCGGCCUGAGAGGGUGACCGGCCACAUUGGGACUGAGAUACGGCCCAGACUCCUACGGGAGGCAGCAGUGGGGAAUAUUGCACAAUGGGCGGAAGCCUGAUGCAGCAACGCCGCGUGCGGGAUGACGGCCUUCGGGUUGUAAACCGCUUUCGCCUGUGACGAAGCGUGAGUGACGGCAAUGGGUAAAGAAGCACCGGCUAACUACGUG
RNAcentral lists this ribosomal RNA (468 nucleotides) under uncultured bacterium. RNAcentral describes it as "partial 16S ribosomal RNA". It matches the Rfam family "Bacterial small subunit ribosomal RNA", at positions 28 to 507 of the family's 1533-position model. The record is from RNAcentral.